UACGUAGGGUGCGAGCGUUGUCCGGAAUUAUUGGGCGUAAAGGGCUCGUAGGCGGUUUUGUCGCGUCGGGAGUGAAACUCCACUGGCUUAACUGUGGCUUGCUUUCGAUACGGGGCAGGACUGGAGGUAUGCAGGGGGAGGAACGGAAUUCCUGGUGUAGCGGUGGAAAUGCGCAGAUAUCAGGAGGAACACCGGUGGCGAAGGCGGUCUCUGGGCAUGUCCUGACGCUGAGGAGCGAAAGUGUGGGGAGGCGAACAGG
This 259-nucleotide ribosomal RNA is filed under the name uncultured bacterium. Its description in RNAcentral is "partial 16S ribosomal RNA". It matches the Rfam family "Bacterial small subunit ribosomal RNA", at positions 524 to 776 of the family's 1533-position model. The record is from RNAcentral.